Molecule: small nuclear RNA, 110 nt
Filed under: Mesocricetus auratus (golden hamster)
Lineage: Eukaryota; Metazoa; Chordata; Mammalia; Rodentia; Cricetidae
Source: RNAcentral
GUGGGUCCUGUCUUUGCCAUCACACACACACUCGUGCUGAAACCAUAAAUUGAUUAGCAUGGCCUCUGCACCAGGAUGAUACUCAAGUUCUUAAAGUAUUCUAUAUUUCA